This is a long non-coding RNA of Bos taurus (domestic cattle), 433 nucleotides long. The record is from Ensembl. NCBI's taxonomy places the organism in Eukaryota, Metazoa, Chordata, Mammalia, Artiodactyla, Bovidae.
CGCUGCUACUACCCAGCCAGACUGGCUCCCUACGCGGUGCGCGGCCCGAGAUCAGGGCCAGCUUUCACCCCCAGCUCUGCUCCGGAGCCGGCCUUAAGAGAAGUGGGAUUAACAGAAGAAGCCAGUCUGCAGGUCAGGCCUCCGUGUUGAUGAGCAUCUCCACCUUCACACCUGGCCAGUCCCUGUGCCUGAGACCCACAGAACCCAGCCCAGCCCAAGCUGGCAGGAGAGGAGCCUGCCCUCCUCCCCGGGACACUGCCACCACCACCAACACCCCCUCCUUUCUAGGCAUCUUCUGGGAGGGGCCGGUGGGUUUGAGCGGAAGCAGAGCCAGCACAGUGGACACCGCUACUCUGAGCAUCUGUUGGCUGCAGAGGCCAGGGUUUCUCCCAGGUCACCUGUCAGUAUCACAGGGUUUCCUCCAGGACCUCAU